This 505-nucleotide ribosomal RNA is filed under the name uncultured bacterium. RNAcentral describes it as "bacterial SSU rRNA". It matches the Rfam family "Bacterial small subunit ribosomal RNA", at positions 28 to 506 of the family's 1533-position model. The record is from RNAcentral.
GACGAACGCUGGCGGCGUGCUUAACACAUGCAAGUCGAACGGAGCGAAUGAAAGCUUGCUUUUAUAAGCUUAGUGGCAAACGGGUGAGUAACACGUAGACAACCUGCCGACAGGAUGGGGACAACAUUCCGAAAGGAAUGCUAAUACCGAAUGAAGUGCAGGGGAGGCAUCUCCCCUGCAUGAAAGAUGGCCUCUUUUUAUGCUAUCACCUGUUGAUGGGUCUGCGUCUGAUUAGCUGGUAGGUGAGGUAACGGCUCACCUAGGCGACGAUCAGUAGCCGGUCUGAGAGGAUGAACGGCCACAUUGGGACUGAGACACGGCCCAGACUCCUACGGGAGGCAGCAGUGGGGAAUCUUCCGCAAUGGGCGCAAGCCUGACGGAGCAACGCCGCGUGAGUGAAGAAGGUCUUCGGAUCGUAAAGCUCUGUUGAUGGGGACGAACGUGCCUAAUGCGAAUAGUAUUAGGUAAUGACGGUACCCAUCGAGGAAGCCACGGCUAACUAUCC